UAGAAAUCGGUGUCUCUUGAGGCAACUC
This 28-nucleotide non-coding RNA is filed under the name Bombyx mori (domestic silkworm). The record is from RNAcentral. Lineage: Eukaryota; Metazoa; Arthropoda; Insecta; Lepidoptera; Bombycidae.